RNAcentral lists this ribosomal RNA (490 nucleotides) under uncultured bacterium. Its description in RNAcentral is "partial 16S ribosomal RNA". It matches the Rfam family "Bacterial small subunit ribosomal RNA", at positions 29 to 505 of the family's 1533-position model. The record is from RNAcentral.
AGUGAACGCUGGCGGUAGGCCUAACACAUGCAAGUCGAACGGCAGCACAGUAAGAGCUUGCUCUUACGGGUGGCGAGUGGCGGACGGGUGAGGAAUACAUCGGAAUCUACUUUUUCGUGGGGGAUAACGUAGGGAAACUUACGCUAAUACCGCAUACGACCUACGGGUGAAAGCAGGGGAUCUUCGGACCUUGCGCGAUUGAAUGAGCCGAUGUCGGAUUAGCUAGUUGGCGGGGUAAAGGCCCACCAAGGCGACGAUCCGUAGCUGGUCUGAGAGGAUGAUCAGCCACACUGGAACUGAGACACGGUCCAGACUCCUACGGGAGGCAGCAGUGGGGAAUAUUGGACAAUGGGCGAAAGCCUGAUCCAGCCAUACCGCGUGGGUGAAGAAGGCCUUCGGGUUGUAAAGCCCUUUUGUUGGGAAAAAAAAGCAGCAGGUUAAUACCCCGCUGUUCUGACGGUACCCAAAGAAUAAGCACCGGCUAACUUCG